This 253-nucleotide ribosomal RNA is filed under the name uncultured bacterium. RNAcentral's name for it is "partial 16S ribosomal RNA". It matches the Rfam family "Bacterial small subunit ribosomal RNA", at positions 524 to 776 of the family's 1533-position model. The record is from RNAcentral.
UACGAAGGGGGCUAGCGUUGCUCGGAAUCACUGGGCGUAAAGCGCACGUAGGCGGCUUUUUAAGUCAGGGGUGAAAUCCUGGAGCUCAACUCCAGAACUGCCUUUGAUACUGGCGGCCUUGAGUCCGGGAGAGGUGAGUGGAACUGCGAGUGUAGAGGUGAAAUUCGUAGAUAUUCGCAAGAACACCAGUGGCGAAGGCGGCUCACUGGCCCGGUACUGACGCUGAGGUGCGAAAGCGUGGGGAGCAAACAGG